RNAcentral lists this ribosomal RNA (1009 nucleotides) under Clostridioides difficile. RNAcentral describes it as "partial 23S ribosomal RNA". It matches the Rfam family "Bacterial large subunit ribosomal RNA", at positions 1555 to 2575 of the family's 2925-position model. Lineage: Bacteria; Bacillati; Bacillota; Clostridia; Peptostreptococcales; Peptostreptococcaceae. The record is from RNAcentral.
GCUGGGAUGUGAUGGGGAGCGAAAUUUAGUAGCGAAGUAGCUGAUUUCACACUGUCAAGAAAAGUCUCUAUCGAGGUUAAAGGUACCCGUACCGCAAACCGACACAGGUGGGUGAGGAGAGUAUCCUAAGGCCAGCGAGAGAACUGUUGUUAAGGAACUCGGCAAAAUGACCCCGUAACUUAGGGAUAAGGGGUGCCACCAUCCGGUGGCCGCAGAGAAUAGGCCCAAGCGACUGUUUACCAAAAACAUAGGUUUCUGCUAAGUCGCAAGACGAUGUAUAGGAGCUGACGCCUGCCCGGUGCUGGAAGGUUAAGGGGAUCUGUUAGAGCAAUCGAAGCAGUGAACUUAAGCCCCAGUAAACGGCGGCCGUAACUAUAACGGUCCUAAGGUAGCGAAAUUCCUUGUCGGGUAAGUUCCGACCCGCACGAAAGGCGUAACGAUUUGGGCACUGUCUCAACAACAGACUCGGUGAAAUUGUAAUUCCGGUGAAGAUGCCGGAUACCUGCGACAGGACGGAAAGACCCCAUGGAGCUUUACUGUAGCUUGACAUUGGGUCUUGGUACUACAUGUACAGGAUAGGUGGGAGGCUUUGAAACCAGGACGCCAGUUUUGGCGGAGCCAUCCUUGGGAUACCACCCUUGUAGUACUGGGACUCUAACCAUAGGCCAUGAAUCUGGUCUUGGGACACUGUCAGGUGGGCAGUUUGACUGGGGCGGUCGCCUCCCAAAAGGUAACGGAGGCGCUCAAAGGUUCUCUCAGUACGGUCGGAAAUCGUACGUAGAGUGUAAAGGCAAAAGAGAGCUUGAUUGCAAGACAUACAGGUCGAGCAAGGAUGAAAAUCGGACUUAGUGAUCCGGUGGUUCUGCGUGGAAGGGCCAUCGCUCAACGGAUAAAAGCUACCCUGGGGAUAACAGGCUUAUCUCCCCCAAGAGUCCACAUCGACGGGGAGGUUUGGCACCUCGAUGUCGGCUCAUCACAUCCUGGGGCUGUAGUAGGUCCCAAGGGUUGG